Molecule: ribosomal RNA, 864 nt
Filed under: Alternaria scirpivora
Lineage: Eukaryota; Fungi; Ascomycota; Dothideomycetes; Pleosporales; Pleosporaceae
Description: SSU rRNA
Rfam family: Eukaryotic small subunit ribosomal RNA
Source: RNAcentral
GCAUUAUACCGUGAAACUGCGAAUGGCUCAUUAAAUCAGUUAUCGUUUAUUUGAUAAUACCUUACUACUUGGAUAACCGUGGUAAUUCUAGAGCUAAUACAUGCUGAAAAUCCCGACUUCGGAAGGGAUGUGCUUAUUAGAUAAAAAACCAAUGCCCUUCGGGGCUCUUUGGUGAUUCAUGAUAAUUUUACGGAUCGCAUAGCCUUGCGCUGGCGACGGUUCAUUCAAAUUUCUGCCCUAUCAACUUUCGAUGGUAAGGUAUUGGCUUACCAUGGUUUCAACGGGUAACGGGGAAUUAGGGUUCGAUUCCGGAGAGGGAGCCUGAGAAACGGCUACCACAUCCAAGGAAGGCAGCAGGCGCGCAAAUUACCCAAUCCCGACACGGGGAGGUAGUGACAAUAAAUACUGAUACAGGGCUCUUUUGGGUCUUGUAAUUGGAAUGAGUACAAUUUAAACCUCUUAACGAGGAACAAUUGGAGGGCAAGUCUGGUGCCAGCAGCCGCGGUAAUUCCAGCUCCAAUAGCGUAUAUUAAAGUUGUUGCAGUUAAAAAGCUCGUAGUUGAAACUUGGGCCUGGCUGGCGGGUCCGCCUCACCGCGUGCACUCGUCCGGCCGGGCCUUCCUUCUGAAGAACCUCAUGCCCUUCACUGGGCGUGUUGGGGAAUCAGGACUUUUACUUUGAAAAAAUUAGAGUGUUCAAAGCAGGCCUUUGCUCGAAUACGUUAGCAUGGAAUAAUAAAAUAGGGCGUGCGUUUCUAUUUUGUUGGUUUCUAGAGACGCCGCAAUGAUUAACAGGAACAGUCGGGGGCAUCAGUAUUCAGUUGUCAGAGGUGAAAUUCUUGGAUUUACUGAAGACUAACUACUG